UCAAAGGUAACAUCUGCGGGAUUUGCUCUCGUAUCGGCGAGAAGACCUCAGUCGAGAGCCAUUCCACCGAUUGCUUUUGUACUGUGCGAAGAAUACCCUAAGCGAAGACCUUAGGGUUUCUCCUACCAAAACUUCUCUGGUUGCUGUCAGUUGCAUCUGUCUGCUGCUCAGUUGAGAGCCUUCCUCUAUUGCUAUUUGAAACCCUUCAUUGGGUAUUCGCGACGGGUCUCAGCAAGACUGAAAUCGAUUUGAUAAGAUUGUUGGAAGCUGCUCCUAGACAACAGAAUCAAACAAAGCUCGUACAUGCAAAGUAUUUGGUCCAGCCUGGUGAGAACAGAAAGCUUCAAGAAGAUUUGACAGACGAUAUGGUUGGCUUAGCACGACAGCUGAAGGAAAGCAGUCUCUUAAUGGUCCAAUCUUUGCAAGACACGGAGAAGAGCUUUCUACAGUGGAUAACCCCUGAAGUCGAAAUCGGUCCGUACUGGAAUAUCGAUCUGCAUGUUAGGUAAAUACCGGUCGAUACAGUGAAAUUGAAUUGGUUGCUACCUAUAUAAUUUGAUACACUGUUUUCUUACCAUUAAAAUUUUCUUAUUUUUAUAACAUAAUUUGAUGGCAUGACAUUUAUUGUCAUUUCCAAAUGGUAACGCUUUCUGUGACCUUGGCAUCUGCAUCUUUGUCAGCAAUUCCUUUUUGUCUAAAUUUCGUAUGA
Long non-coding RNA from Musa acuminata AAA Group (dessert banana), 709 nucleotides. RefSeq lists it as uncharacterized. NCBI's taxonomy places the organism in Eukaryota, Viridiplantae, Streptophyta, Magnoliopsida, Zingiberales, Musaceae. The transcript has 4 exons. The record is from RefSeq and is a predicted model, not a curated record.